ACAUUGCCCGUUCGUGAGCAAUCACGAGCGGUAGCGGAGCGUUCUGUAAGCUGAUGAAGCCAUACCCGUGAGGGGUGGUGGAGGUAUCAGAAGUGCGAAUGCUGACAUGAGUAACGUAAGGGGAGUGAGAGACUCCCCCGCCGAAAGACCAAGGGUUCCUGCUUAAAGCUAAUCUGAGCAGGGUUAGCCGGCCCCUAAGACGAGGCGGAAACGCGUAGUCGAUGGGAACCACGUUAAUAUUCGUGGGCUUGGAGGUAGUGACGGAUCAUUGAGGUAGUCCAAUCUUAUCGGAUUGAACGGGCUGCUGCGUGGUUCCAGGAAAUAGCUCCUCCUUAUAAACCGUACCCGAAACCGACACUGGUGGUCUGGUAGAGUAUACCAAGGCGCUUGAGAGAACUAUGCUGAAGGAACUCGGCAAAUUGCACGCGUAACUUCGGAAGAAGCGUGACCCUUUUCCACGCAAGUGGAGGAGGGUGGCACAGACCAGGGGGUAGCGACUGUUUAUCAAAAACACAGGGCUCUGCGAAGUCGCAAGACGACGUAUAGGGUCUGACGCCUGCCCGGUGCUGGAAGGUUAAGAGGAGGGGUGCAAGCUCUGAAUCGAAGCCCCAGUAAACGGCGGCCGUAACAAUAACGGUCCUAAGGUAGCGAAAUUCCUUGUCGGGUAAGUUCCGACCUGCACGAAUGGCGUAACGACUUCCCCGCUGUCUCCAGCAUAGACUCAGUGAAAUUGAAUUCCCCGUGAAGAUGCGGGGUUCCUGCGGUUAGACGGAAAGACCCCGUGCACCUUUACUAUAGCUUUACAUUGGCAUUCGUAGUGGCAUGUGUAGGAUAGGUGGUAGGCUUUGAAACCUGGGCGCCAGCUCAGGUGGAGCCACCCUUGAAAUACCACCCUUAUUACUAUGGAUGUCUAACCGCGGCCCGUUAUCCGGGUCCGGGACAAUGUAUGGUGGGUAGUUUGACUGGGGCGGUCGCCUCCUAAAGAGUAACGGAGGCGCGCGAUGGUGGGCUCAGAACGGUCGGAAAUCGUUCGCUGAGUGCAAUGGCAUAAGCCUGCCUGACUGCGAGACUGACAAGUCGAGCAGAGACGAAAGUCGGUCAUAGUGAUCCGGUGGUCCCGCGUGGAAGGGCCAUCGCUCAACGAAUAAAAGGUACGCCGGGGAUAACAGGCUGAUGACCCCCAAGAGUCCAUAUCGACGGGGUUGUUUGGCACCUCGAUGUCGACUCAUCGCAUCCUGGGGCUGGAGCAGGUCCCAAGGGUAUGGCUGUUCGCCAUUUAAAGCGGUACGUGAGUUGGGUUCAGAACGUCGUGAGACAGUUCGGUCCCUAUCUGCCGUGGGUGUAGGAAUAUUGAAAGGAUCUGUCCCUAGUACGAGAGGACCGGGAUGGACGGAUCUCUGGUGGACCUGUUGUGGCGCCAGCCGCAUAGCAGGGUAGCUAUAUCCGGACGGGAUAACCGCUGAAGGCAUCUAAGCGGGAAACCCACCUUAAAACGAGUAUUCCCUGAGAACCGUGGAAGACGACCACGUUGAUAGGCCGGGUGUGGAAGAGCGGCAACGCUUGAAGCUUACCGGUACUAAUAGUUCU
RNAcentral lists this ribosomal RNA (1587 nucleotides) under metagenome. RNAcentral's name for it is "bacterial LSU rRNA". It matches the Rfam family "Bacterial large subunit ribosomal RNA", at positions 1197 to 2911 of the family's 2925-position model. The record is from RNAcentral.